This 425-nucleotide unclassified non-coding RNA is filed under the name soil metagenome. RNAcentral's name for it is "partial contains 5.8S ribosomal RNA, internal transcribed spacer 2, and large subunit ribosomal RNA". The stretch from base 1 to 120 matches the Rfam family "5.8S ribosomal RNA", at positions 35 to 154 of the family's 154-position model. The record is from RNAcentral.
GAUGAAGAACGCAGCGAAAUGCGAUAAGUAGUGUGAAUUGCAGAAUUCCGUGAAUCAUCGAAUCUUUGAACGCACAUUGCGCCUUCUGGUAUUCCGGAAGGCAUGCCUGUUCGAGAGUCAUUAACAACCGUUUCGAUCCCUUUCUUUCAGAAAUUACAAAGAGGAAAAGGGAUUGGUUAUGGUGGAGGAGGGAAAGGGAGCGUUUAGCCUGUAAAAAAAGAGGCUGUGUUCCGCCUCCCCCCCAAAAUUGUACAGGCGGUCGUGUGCGCCCACGCAUCGAGGUGUUGUAAAAGCUGCCACGGCACCUUUCACCUGUGCAGUGCGAGAUUGGCCAGCCGGUUUAAAAACCCCUCCAAACAAUCAAAGGUUGACCUCGGAUCAGGUAGGGAUACCCGCUGAACUUAAGCAUAUCAAUAAGCGGAGGA